AAGGGAGACCUAAUUCCGGUAGGAGACGAAAAAAAAGUAGUCCCAACCAAGAAUCAAUCCCAAAAGGUCGGAGCGAGGCGAAAUUGGCUUUCAAACUAGGUUCUGGGUUCAAACAAGACCUGAAUCAGGAACAAGGGCUAUUAGCUCAGGUGGUUAGAGCGCACCCCUGAUAAGGGUGAGGUCCCUGGUUCGAGUCCAGGAUGGCCCACCUGCACAGGUGGCAAAAACAAGAGAAGCUCCGAAUCAGCACCUUAUCUUAUCUAUAUAUAAGAGAGAAUGCUGGCUCUGAGUACAGAGUCCAGAGGAACCUUGAAAACUGCAUAGAGCUAGGUGAAAAAGCCAAAAAAGAAGACCGCAA
This 358-nucleotide transfer RNA is filed under the name uncultured Microcystis sp. Its description in RNAcentral is "partial 16S-23S ribosomal RNA intergenic spacer". The stretch from base 135 to 208 matches the Rfam family "tRNA". Lineage: Bacteria; Bacillati; Cyanobacteriota; Cyanophyceae; Chroococcales; Microcystaceae. The record is from RNAcentral.